RNAcentral lists this ribosomal RNA (119 nucleotides) under Pteropus alecto (black flying fox). Lineage: Eukaryota; Metazoa; Chordata; Mammalia; Chiroptera; Pteropodidae. The record is from RNAcentral.
GUCUAUAGCCGUGCCAUCCUGAACGAGCCCGAUCCCGUCUGAUCUUGGAAGCUAAGCAGGGUCGGGCCUGGUUAGUACUUGGAUGGGAGACCACCUAGGAAGACCAGGUGCUGUAGGUG